ACUCCUACGGGAGGCAGCAGUGGGGAAUCUUGCACAAUGGGGGAAACCCUGAUGCAGCGACGCCGCGUGAGCGAUGAAGCCCUUCGGGGUGUAAAGCUCUUUCGGCAGGAACGAUUAUGACGGUACCUGCAGAAGAAGCUGCGGCUAACUACGUGCCAGCAGCCGCGGUAAUACGUAGGCAGCAAGCGUUGUUCGGAGUUACUGGGCGUAAAGAGUGCGUAGGCGGUUUUCUAAGUUUGGUGUGAAAUCUCCCGGCUCAACUGGGAGGGUGCGCCGAAGACUGGCGGGCUUGAGUGCGGGAGAGGAAAGCGGAAUUCCUGGUGUAGCGGUGAAAUGCGUAGAUAUCAGGAGGAACACCUGCGGUGUAGACGGCUUUCUGGACCGUAACUGACGCUGAGGCACGAAAGCGUGGGUAGCAAACAGGAUUAGAUACCCUGGUAGUCCACGCCCUAAACGAUGCAUACUUGGUGUGGGCAGUUCAUUCUGUCCGUGCCGGAGCUAACGCGUUAAGUAUGCCGCCUGGGGAGUACGGUCGCAAGGCUGAAACUUAAAGGAAUUGACGG
Molecule: ribosomal RNA, 563 nt
Filed under: uncultured Acidobacteriota bacterium
Lineage: Bacteria; Pseudomonadati; Acidobacteriota
Description: bacterial SSU rRNA
Rfam family: Bacterial small subunit ribosomal RNA
Source: RNAcentral